GACGAACGCUGGCGGCGUGCUUAACACAUGCAAGUCGAACGGUGAAGCGCCUUCCUUUUUGGUGGGUGUGGAUGAGUGGCGAACGGGUGAGUAACACGUGAGUAACCUGCCCCCUUCUUCUGGAUAACCGCAUGAAAGUGUGGCUAAUACGGGAUAUUCUGGGUCUGUCGCAUGAUGGGUCUGGGAAAGAUAUUGUUUCGGUGGGGGAUGGGCUCGCGGCCUAUCAGCUUGUUGGUGGGGUGAUGGCCUACCAAGGCGGUGACGGUAGCCGGCCUGAGAGGGUGGACGGUCACACUGGGACUGAGACACGGCCCAGACUCCUACGGGAGGCAGCAGUGGGGAAUAUUGCACAAUGGGCGCAAGCCUGAUGCAGCGACGCCGCGUGAGGGAUGGAGGCCUGCGGGUUGUGAACCUCUUUCGCCAGUGAAGCAGGCCUGCCUCGUUUGUGGGUGGGUUGACGGUAGCUGGAUAAGAAGCGCCGGCUAACUACGUG
Molecule: ribosomal RNA, 493 nt
Filed under: uncultured bacterium
Lineage: Bacteria
Description: partial 16S ribosomal RNA
Rfam family: Bacterial small subunit ribosomal RNA
Source: RNAcentral